CGGGGGGAGCAGCGUUGUUCGGAUUUACUGGGCGUAAAGGGCGCGUAGGCGGCCAGCACAAGUCAGUUGUGAAAUCUCCGGGCUUAACUCGGAAAGGUCAACUGAUACUGUGCGGCUAGAGUGCAGAAGGGGCAACUGGAAUUCUCGGUGUAGCGGUGAAAUGCGUAGAUAUCGAGAGGAACACCUGCGGCGAAGGCGGGUUGCUGGGCUGACACUGACGCUGAUGCGCGAAAGCCAGGGGAGCGAACGGGAUUAGAUACCCCGGUAGUCCUGACCUUAAACGAUGGAUGCUUGGUGUCUGGAGUUUUAUAGUCUCCGGGUGCCGUAGCUAACGCGUUAAGCAUCCCGCCUGGGGAGUACGGUCGCAAGACUG
Molecule: ribosomal RNA, 373 nt
Filed under: uncultured organism
Description: bacterial SSU rRNA
Rfam family: Bacterial small subunit ribosomal RNA
Source: RNAcentral